UCGAACUCCUGGCCUCAAGUGAUCCACCCACCUUGGCCCCCCACAGUGCUGGGAUUACAGGUGUGGGCCACUGCCCUGGCCUAGACUGGGCAAUUCUAGCUGGGUUUGGGGAGGCCAUUGAGGAGGCUGGCAUUGGAAACCUGAGCCAGGGAAGGGCCCGGAGGCUGGAGUCCAGUAUGUUUAGUAGGUAGAAUCCUCAGAAUGCGGUGCCUGGCGCUUAGUACUGAGCGUGGCUCCAGAGGAGCAGAGUGCUGUCUGUUUUACUCACUGCUGAAUCUCAAGCACUGAAGACAGUCCUGGCACACAGCAAGUGCUUAGGAUGUAUUUGUUGAAUAAAUUAAAUGGGAGGCAGGAGUUGAGGCUGAUACCCAGGUGUCUG
Molecule: long non-coding RNA, 379 nt
Filed under: Homo sapiens (human)
Lineage: Eukaryota; Metazoa; Chordata; Mammalia; Primates; Hominidae
Description: HSALNT0238954
Source: RNAcentral